GAGGGUAUAGCUCAGUGGUAGAGGGCACGCCUAGCAUGCAUGAGGUCCUGGGUUCAAUCCCCAGUACCUCCA
This 72-nucleotide transfer RNA is filed under the name Camelus bactrianus (Bactrian camel). It matches the Rfam family "tRNA". From Rfam's summary of the family: Transfer RNA (tRNA) molecules are approximately 80 nucleotides in length. Their secondary structure includes four short double-helical elements and three loops (D, anti-codon, and T loops). Further hydrogen bonds mediate the characteristic L-shaped molecular structure. tRNAs have two regions of fundamental functional importance: the anti-codon, which is responsible for specific mRNA codon recognition, and the 3' end, to which the tRNAs corresponding amino acid is attached (by aminoacyl-tRNA synthetases). tRNAs cope with the degeneracy of the genetic code in two manners: having more than one tRNA (with a specific anti-codon) for a particular amino acid; and 'wobble' base-pairing, i.e. permitting non-standard base-pairing at the 3rd anti-codon position. RNAcentral also lists the same sequence under 2 other names. The record is from Rfam by way of RNAcentral. Lineage: Eukaryota; Metazoa; Chordata; Mammalia; Artiodactyla; Camelidae.